RNAcentral lists this ribosomal RNA (466 nucleotides) under uncultured bacterium. Its description in RNAcentral is "partial 16S ribosomal RNA". It matches the Rfam family "Bacterial small subunit ribosomal RNA", at positions 28 to 507 of the family's 1533-position model. The record is from RNAcentral.
GACGAACGCUGGCGGCGUGCUUAACACAUGCAAGUCGAACGGAAAGGCCCUGCUUGCAGGGUACUCGAGUGGCGAACGGGUGAGUAACACGUGGGUGAUCUGCCCUGCACUUCGGGAUAAGCUUGGGAAACUGGGUCUAAUACCGGAUAGGAGCCAUCUUUAGUGUGGUGGUUGGAAAGUUUUUUCGGUGUAGGAUGAGCUCGCGGCCUAUCAGCUUGUUGGUGGGGUAAUGGCCUACCAAGGCGGCGACGGGUAGCCGGCCUGAGAGGGUGUACGGCCACACUAGGACUGUGCUACGGCCCAGACUCCUGCAGGGCGCAGCAGUGGGGAAUAUUCCACAAUGGGCGCAAGCCUGAUGCAGCGACGCCGCGUGGUGGAUGAAGGCCUUCGGGUUGUAAACUCCUUUCGCUAGUGACGAAGCGUUGUUGUGACGGUACCUAGAUAAGAAGCACCGGCUAACUACGUG